This 63-nucleotide transfer RNA is filed under the name Ameletus sp. 1 MT-2014. Its description in RNAcentral is "tRNA-His". Lineage: Eukaryota; Metazoa; Arthropoda; Insecta; Ephemeroptera; Ameletidae. The record is from RNAcentral.
GCUUAAAUAGUUUAAGAAAAAUCUUGAUUUGUGAUGUCAAAGAUGUGAAAUUCACUUUAGGCC